Molecule: ribosomal RNA, 876 nt
Filed under: Cohnella sp. BGA9E
Lineage: Bacteria; Bacillati; Bacillota; Bacilli; Caryophanales; Paenibacillaceae
Description: bacterial SSU rRNA
Rfam family: Bacterial small subunit ribosomal RNA
Source: RNAcentral
AUGUGUAGGAGCACCAGUGGUNAAGGUGGCUCUCUGGACUUGUAACUGACGCUGAAGGCGCGGAAGCUUGGNGAGCAAACUGGAUUAGAUACCCGUGUGUAGUCCACGCCGUUAAACGAUGAGUGGUAAGUGUCGGGGGGGUCCACCCCUUCGGUGCCCAAGUUAACACAUUAAGCACUCCGCCUGGGGAGUACGGUCGCAAGACUGAAAACUCAAAGGAAUUGACGGGGCACCCGCACAAGCAGUGGAGUAUGUGGUUUAAUUUCGAAGCAACGCGAAGAACCUUACCAGGUCUUAGACAUCCCUCUGACCGGUCUAGAGAUAGGCCUUUCCUUCGGGAACAGAGGAGACAGGUGGUGCAUGGUUGUCGUCAGCUCGUGUCGUGAGAUGUUGGGUUAAGUCCCGCAACGAGCGCAACCCUUGAGCUUAGUUGCCAGCACGUAAAGGUGGGCACUCUAGGCUGACUGCCGGUGACAAACCGGAGGAAGGCGGGGAUGACGUCAAAUCAUCAUGCCCCUUAUGACCUGGGCUACACACGUACUACAAUGGCCGGUACAACGGGUCGCGAAGCCGCGAGGCGGAGCCAAUCCCAGCAAAGCCGGUCUCAGUUCGGAUUGCAGGCUGCAACUCGCCUGCAUGAAGUCGGAAUUGCUAGUAAUCGCGGAUCAGCAUGCCGCGGUUGAAUACGUUCCCGGGGUCUUGUACACACCGCCCCGUCACACCACGAAAGGUUUACAACCCCAAACCCGGUGGGGGUAACCGCAAGGAGCCCACCCGUCGGAAGUGGGUGUAGAUGAUUGGGGUGAAACCCGUAACAAGUUACCCGUUCGNAAGGGCGGCUGGGAUCACCUCCUUAACCGNANUCCANCUCGUANC